GCUCAUCGCAUCCUGGAGCUGAAGAAGGUUCCAAGGGUUGGGCUGUUCGCCCAUUAAAGCGGUACGUGAGCUGGGUUUAGAACGUCGCGAGACAGUUCGGUCCCUAUCUGUGGUGGGCGUAGGAGAUUUGAGGGGCGCUAUCCUUAGUACGAGAGGACCGGGAUGGACGAACCUCUGGUGCACCAGUUGUCGUGCCAACGGCAUAGCUGGAUAGCCAAGUUCGGAUGGGAUAAGCGCUGAAAGCAUAUAAGCGUGAAACCCACCCCAAGAUAAGAUCUCCCGACCCGUAAGGGUCCUAAAGACCCCUGGAAGACCACCAGGUGAUAGGCUGGGUGUGGAAGCGCGGAGACGCGUGGAGCUUACCAGUACUAAUCGGUCGUGAGGCUUGACCAUAAAA
RNAcentral lists this ribosomal RNA (397 nucleotides) under Acidobacteriota bacterium. Its description in RNAcentral is "Acidobacteria bacterium (hot springs metagenome) partial 23S ribosomal RNA". It matches the Rfam family "Bacterial large subunit ribosomal RNA", at positions 2535 to 2925 of the family's 2925-position model. The record is from RNAcentral. Lineage: Bacteria; Pseudomonadati; Acidobacteriota.